GGGCUAUAGCUCAGUCGGUAGAGCACCUCGUUUACACCGAGAAGGUCUA
This 49-nucleotide transfer RNA is filed under the name Pinguicula moranensis. RNAcentral's name for it is "partial tRNA-Val". The record is from RNAcentral. Lineage: Eukaryota; Viridiplantae; Streptophyta; Magnoliopsida; Lamiales; Lentibulariaceae.